AUUGAACGCUGGCGGCAGGCCUAACACAUGCAAGUCGAGCGGUAGAGAGGUGCUUGCAUCUCUUGAGAGCGGCGGACGGGUGAGUAAUGCCUAGGAAUCUGCCUAGUGGUGGGGGAUAACGUUCGGAAACGGACGCUAAUACCGCAUACGUCCUACGGGAGAAAAGCGGGGGAUCUUCGGACCUCGCGCCAUUAGAUGAGCCUAGGUCGGAUUAGCUAGUUGGUGAGGUAAUGGCUCACCAAGGCGACGAUCCGUAACUGGUCUGAGAGGAUGAUCAGUCACACUGGAACUGAGACACGGUCCAGACUCCUACGGAGGCAGCAGUGGGGAAUAUUGGACAAUGGGCGAAAGCCUGA
RNAcentral lists this ribosomal RNA (356 nucleotides) under uncultured bacterium. RNAcentral's name for it is "bacterial SSU rRNA". It matches the Rfam family "Bacterial small subunit ribosomal RNA", at positions 30 to 386 of the family's 1533-position model. The record is from RNAcentral.